RNAcentral lists this ribosomal RNA (318 nucleotides) under Pterocarpus brenanii. RNAcentral describes it as "eukaryotic LSU rRNA". The record is from RNAcentral. Lineage: Eukaryota; Viridiplantae; Streptophyta; Magnoliopsida; Fabales; Fabaceae.
UCCCGUGACCAUCGAGUCUUUGAACGCAAGUUGCGCCCGAAGCCAGCUCAGGCCGAGGGCACGCCUGCCUGGGUGUCACCAAUCGUCGCCCCCACAACCCCGCUGCCUCCCGGCACCGGGCGGGGCGGAUGCUGGCCUCCCGCGAGCGAGCGCCUCGCGGCUGGUUGAAAGGCGGGUUCGUGGCGGAGCGUAUCGCCAUGACGGACGGUGGUUGAGCGCGUUCUCGAGGCCAGUCAUGCGCGUCCCGCUGCGCCGGAUACGGACCCCGCGACCCGCGGGCGGCACCGAUCGCUCGUGAUGCGACCUCAGGUCAGGCGG